Molecule: long non-coding RNA, 208 nt
Filed under: Brassica rapa (field mustard)
Lineage: Eukaryota; Viridiplantae; Streptophyta; Magnoliopsida; Brassicales; Brassicaceae
Description: long non-coding RNA (BRAP_LNC005397)
Source: RNAcentral
GUGUCGCUGUUUUAUACCUUUUGAAAAAAAAAAUUGUAGACCAAAUAAAAUCAGACUUUCUUUAAAAAUUUAUAGAUAGUUUAUAAAUCGAAAUUUAGUAUAAUUUUCCUUUUGAAUACGUUAAAAUAAGAGUAUUGUAUAUAUAAAUAGCUAGACCAUUAAGCAUAGGGUCUAAAUCAGAUAUUUUAGAUUAUUUAUUAAAAAUAAC